This 74-nucleotide transfer RNA is filed under the name Mariniblastus sp. Its description in RNAcentral is "tRNA-Met". It matches the Rfam family "tRNA". From Rfam's summary of the family: Transfer RNA (tRNA) molecules are approximately 80 nucleotides in length. Their secondary structure includes four short double-helical elements and three loops (D, anti-codon, and T loops). Lineage: Bacteria; Pseudomonadati; Planctomycetota; Planctomycetia; Pirellulales; Pirellulaceae. The record is from RNAcentral.
AGGCGAUUAGCUCAGCUGGUCAGAGCGCCACUUUCAUACGGUGGAUGUCACAGGUUCGAACCCUGUAUCGCCUA